CUGCAAAUAAAAGCCCUGCAAUGUGUAGAGGUGCUCAUAUAAAAGAGAGCAACUUCUGCUCUUGUUAACUCUGAACUAUGUAAGUCAGAACAUCAGCCUCUUGAACUAUUGUUAAAGAUCUCAAGACUGUUGUUGAAGCUCUCUCUUGUGUCCAGUUCUAGGGCCCCCAGUGCGAGAAGGACAUGGAGCUGUUGGAGUGGGUCCAGAGGAGGGCUACGAAGGUGAUCAGAGGGCUGGAGCACCUCCCCUACAGGGACAGGCUGAGAGGGCUGGCACUCUUCCACCUAGAGAAAAGAAUGCUCCGGGGGGAUGUUAUAGGGGCCUACAGGAAAGCUGAGGAGGAACUUCCUGUAAGGGCAUGUAGCAACAGGACAAGGGGAAAUAGUUUUAAACUGGAAGAAGGUAGAUUUAGACUAGAAGUUUGAAAGAAAUUCCUUACUGUGAGGAUGGUGAGAAACUGGAGAGGUUGCC
This 471-nucleotide long non-coding RNA is filed under the name Gallus gallus (chicken). Its description in RNAcentral is "lncRNA (ENSGALG00010006559.1)". The record is from RNAcentral. Lineage: Eukaryota; Metazoa; Chordata; Aves; Galliformes; Phasianidae.